GCCGGGUGUGGUAGUGCAUGCCUGUAGUCCCAGCUACUCUGGAAGCUGAGGUGGAAGGAUUGCUUGAGCCCAGGAGAUUGAGGCUGCAGUGAGCCAUGAUUGUGCCACUGCACUCCAGCCUGGGUAAAAGGGCAAGACUUGUCUCUGAAAACAAACAAAAAGUUGGCUUGAUGGUCAACUGGCUAAUCUGAGGUAGGGAAAUUACAGAAUUGCUUGAGCCUAGGAGUUCAAAGCUGCAGUGCUCCAUGAUUGCCCUUGUAAAUAGCUACUGCACGACAGCCUGGGCAAUAUAGCAAGACCCCAUCUCU
RNAcentral lists this small RNA (308 nucleotides) under Pongo abelii (Sumatran orangutan). The record is from RNAcentral. Lineage: Eukaryota; Metazoa; Chordata; Mammalia; Primates; Hominidae.